Molecule: ribosomal RNA, 254 nt
Filed under: uncultured bacterium
Lineage: Bacteria
Description: partial 16S ribosomal RNA
Rfam family: Bacterial small subunit ribosomal RNA
Source: RNAcentral
UACGAAGGGGGCUAGCGUUGUCCGGAAUUAUUGGGCGUAAAGAGCUCGUAGGCGGUGUGUCGCGUCGGCCGUGAAAACCUGCAGCUUAACUGUGGGCGUGCGGUCGAUACGGGCAUCACUGGAGUUCGGCAGGGGAGACUGGAAUUCCUGGUGUAGCGGUGAAAUGCGCAGAUAUCAGGAGGAACACCGGUGGCGAAGGCGGGUCUCUGGGCCGAUACUGACGCUGAGGAGCGAAAGCGUGGGGAGCGAACAGG